Pelobates cultripes (western spadefoot toad) is the source of this 332-nucleotide non-coding RNA. Lineage: Eukaryota; Metazoa; Chordata; Amphibia; Anura; Pelobatidae. The record is from the annotation of a GenBank genome assembly.
AGGUGAGUGAGUUUUGGUCCUCCUGCGACAUCAGGAUUAUUUUGUAUAUUUGUGAAAGUGUGCGUUUAAGUGUAUUUGUGGCGUUGCAUAGUUUUUCAAAGGGAGUUAGGUCCAUAGGGGCCCAGUGAGGGAGUACUUUUUCGGUCAAGGUAUGUUUCAAUUGGGAGCAUCUUAGUACUUCUGUUAGUGAAUGGUGUCCUACAUGUCUCUGCAGAAUUAUUAUUUGGGGGUGAGUCUGUUAGUAUGUCUCUAAGUUGUGGGUCUGGUUUCCCCGCUAGUUUCGUUAGCGUUUUCACCCCUUUCCCUCCCAGGAUGUCCAGGUUAUGUGCUAC